GACGAACGCUGGCGGCGUGCUUAACACAUGCAAGUCGAGCGGAAAGGCCCUUCGGGGUACUCGAGCGGCGAACGGGUGAGUAACACGUGAGUAACCUGCCCCAGACUUUGGGAUAACCCUCGGAAACGGGGGCUAAUACCGGAUACGACACAGCUUCGCAUGGGGUCUGUGUGGAAAGUUUUUCGGUUUGGGAUGGGCUCGCGGCCUAUCAGCUUGUUGGUGGGGUGAUGGCCUACCAAGGCGACGACGGGUAGCCGGCCUGAGAGGGCGACCGGCCACACUGGGACUGAGACACGGCCCAGACUCCUACGGGAGGCAGCGGUGGGGAAUAUUGCACAAUGGGCGGAAGCCUGAUGCAGCGACGCCGCGUGGGGGAUGACGGCCUUCGGGUUGUAAACCUCUUUCAGCAGGGACGAAGCGUAAGUGACGGUACCUGCAGAAGAAGCGCCGGCCAACUACGUG
This 462-nucleotide ribosomal RNA is filed under the name uncultured bacterium. RNAcentral describes it as "partial 16S ribosomal RNA". It matches the Rfam family "Bacterial small subunit ribosomal RNA", at positions 28 to 507 of the family's 1533-position model. The record is from RNAcentral.